Molecule: unclassified non-coding RNA, 277 nt
Filed under: uncultured fungus
Lineage: Eukaryota; Fungi
Description: sequence contains ITS2
Rfam family: 5.8S ribosomal RNA (bases 1-52)
Source: RNAcentral
AACGCACCUUGCGCUCCUUGGUAUUCCGAGGAGCAUGCCUGUUCGAGUGUCUUUUAACCAAUCGACCCCAAUAGUUUGGGGCUCGGAUCUUUGGACGUUCCUGCGGUUCCCUCUCGGGUGCUGCUCGUCCCAAAUUCAUUAGCUGUGAUUACACAAAAGGCUGGCUUGUGGAGUGUAAAAAAUGCUUCCAUACAGCACAAGUGUCGUGGCUACCAAUGGUCUGUAGACAAUCUAUACCUUUGGCCUCGAAUCAGGUAGGACUACCCGCUGAACUUAA